RNAcentral lists this ribosomal RNA (374 nucleotides) under uncultured Alphaproteobacteria bacterium. RNAcentral describes it as "bacterial SSU rRNA". It matches the Rfam family "Bacterial small subunit ribosomal RNA", at positions 521 to 896 of the family's 1533-position model. The record is from RNAcentral. Lineage: Bacteria; Pseudomonadati; Pseudomonadota; Alphaproteobacteria.
UAAUACGGAGGGAGCUAGCGUUGUUCGGAAUUACUGGGCGUAAAGCGUACGUAGGCGGAUUGACAAGUUGGGGGUGAAAUCCCAGGGCUUAACCCUGGAACUGCCCUCAAAACUAUCGAUCUAGAGACCGGGAGAGGUAAGCGGAAUUCCUAGUGUAGAGGUGAAAUUCGUAGAUAUUAGGAAGAACACCAGUGGCGAAGGCGGCUUACUGGACCGGUACUGACGCUAAGGUACGAAAGCGUGGGGAGCAAACAGGAUUAGAUACCCUGGUAGUCCACGCCGUAAACGAUGGGUGCUAGAUGUUGGGGCUUUAAGCUUCAGUGUCGCAGCUAACGCAUUAAGCACCCCGCCUGGGGAGUACGGUCGCAAGAUUA